AGGGGUGUAGCUCAAUUGGCAGAGCGGCGGUCUCCAAAACCGUAGGCUGAGGGUUCGAGUCCUUCCACCCCUGCUA
RNAcentral lists this transfer RNA (76 nucleotides) under Ignavibacteria bacterium. RNAcentral's name for it is "tRNA-Trp". It matches the Rfam family "tRNA". From Rfam's summary of the family: Transfer RNA (tRNA) molecules are approximately 80 nucleotides in length. Their secondary structure includes four short double-helical elements and three loops (D, anti-codon, and T loops). Further hydrogen bonds mediate the characteristic L-shaped molecular structure. tRNAs have two regions of fundamental functional importance: the anti-codon, which is responsible for specific mRNA codon recognition, and the 3' end, to which the tRNAs corresponding amino acid is attached (by aminoacyl-tRNA synthetases). tRNAs cope with the degeneracy of the genetic code in two manners: having more than one tRNA (with a specific anti-codon) for a particular amino acid; and 'wobble' base-pairing, i.e. permitting non-standard base-pairing at the 3rd anti-codon position. RNAcentral also lists the same sequence under 3 other names. The record is from RNAcentral. Lineage: Bacteria; Pseudomonadati; Ignavibacteriota; Ignavibacteria.